AAACACACUACGACGUUAAACCAAAGCUUAUUUGGAUCAACUGGCUCAUGUCCAGCCGCUGCAGUUACGCCCGAACUAUCUAACACCGUGGCCCAAAGACCCGCCGCCGUGGACGGGAUUCGAGUCUGCACCCGGGCUCAGCACCGCAACGACAAAGCCACCAGCCACCGCCGCGGGCAAUAGGGUUUCCAAAGAGCGAAGUCGUGCACUUCCGGUUCACCUCCUGAGACGACCGGGAAGGAAAUUCAAAAUCAA
Molecule: long non-coding RNA, 255 nt
Organism: Dermacentor albipictus
Lineage: Eukaryota; Metazoa; Arthropoda; Arachnida; Ixodida; Ixodidae
Source: RefSeq, a predicted model, not a curated record